GACGUAGGGCGCGAGCGUUGUCCGGAUUUAUUGGGCGUAAAGAGCUCGUAGGCGGCUUGUUGCGUCAGCUGUGAAAACCCGCAGCUCAACUGUGGGCUUGCAGCUGAUACGGGCAGGCUUGAGUUCGGUAGGGGAGACUGGAAUUCCUGGUGUAGCGGUGAAAUGCGCAGAUAUCAGGAGGAACACCGGUGGCGAAGGCGGGUCUCUGGGCCGAUACUGACGCUGAGGAGCGAAAAGCGUGGGGAGCGAACAGG
RNAcentral lists this ribosomal RNA (254 nucleotides) under uncultured bacterium. RNAcentral describes it as "partial 16S ribosomal RNA". It matches the Rfam family "Bacterial small subunit ribosomal RNA", at positions 524 to 776 of the family's 1533-position model. The record is from RNAcentral.